This 527-nucleotide ribosomal RNA is filed under the name uncultured bacterium. RNAcentral's name for it is "bacterial SSU rRNA". It matches the Rfam family "Bacterial small subunit ribosomal RNA", at positions 981 to 1509 of the family's 1533-position model. The record is from RNAcentral.
UUGACAUCCAGAGAACUUGGCAGAGAUGCCUUGGUGCCUUCGGGACCUCUGAGACAGGUGCUGCAUGGCUGUCGUCAGCUCGUGUUGUGAAAUGUUGGGUUAAGUCCGCAACGAGCGCAACCCCUAUCCUUUGUUGCCAGCGAUUCGGUCGGGAACUCAAAGGAGACUGCCGGUGAUAAACCGGAGGAAGGUGGGGAUGACGUCAAGUCAUCAUGGCCCUUACGAGUAGGGCUACACACGUGCUACAAUGGCGCAUACAAAGAGAAGCGACCUCGCGAGAGCAAGCGGACCUCAUAAAGUGCGUCGUAGUCCGGAUCGGAGUCUGCAACUCGACUCCGUGAAGUCGGAAUCGCUAGUAAUCGUAGAUCAGAAUGCUACGGUGAAUACGUUCCCGGGCCUUGUACACACCGCCCGUCACACCGUGGGAGUGGGUUGCAAAAGAAGUAGAUAGCUUAACCUUCGGGAGGGCGUUUACCACUUUGUGAUUCAUGACUGGGGUGAAGUCGUAACAAGGUAGGCGUAGCGAG